UAACAAGAGAACGAUUACGAUGAACGUGGGAGAUGGGUCGAAGACUUUGAACAGAAUGGUUUAGAUUUUUCAGAGUGCAGAGAAUGCGUGGCUGCAAAUAAUGGAUAGUUAUCAAGUCCCUUUCAGUUUCUCUCGUAAAGCGCAAAAAAAAGGAGAAGAAAUUCAUAGCUUAUGAACUAAAUAAUUGGGUAAAGGAACUGAUUAAUUACUCAGAUGAAAAUGUACGUAUCUGUUU
Molecule: long non-coding RNA, 235 nt
Filed under: Populus tremula
Lineage: Eukaryota; Viridiplantae; Streptophyta; Magnoliopsida; Malpighiales; Salicaceae
Description: long non-coding RNA (PTRE_LNC001262)
Source: RNAcentral